RNAcentral lists this ribosomal RNA (394 nucleotides) under uncultured bacterium. RNAcentral's name for it is "partial 16S ribosomal RNA". It matches the Rfam family "Bacterial small subunit ribosomal RNA", at positions 338 to 724 of the family's 1533-position model. The record is from RNAcentral.
CCUACGGGAGGCAGCAGUAGGGAAUCUUCCACAAUGGGCGCAAGCCUGAUGGAGCAACGCCGCGUGGGUGAAGAAGGUCUUCGGAUCGUAAAACCCUGUUGUUAGAGAAGAAAGUGCGUGAGAGUAACUGUUCACGUUUCGACGGUAUCCAACCAGAAAGCCACGGCUAACUACGUGCCAGCCGCCGCGGUAAUACGUAGGUGGCAAGCGUUAUCCGGAUUUAUUGGGCGUAAAGGGACCGCAGGCGGUUGUUUAGGUCUGAUGGGAAAGCCUUCGGCUUAACCGGAGAAGUGCAUUGGAAACUGGGAGACUUGAGUGCAGAAGAGGACAGUGGAACUCCAUGUGUAGCGGUGAAAUGCGUAGAUAUAUGGAAGAACACCAGUGGCGAAAGCGG